UCUUUCUCUCUUUCUCUUUCUCUCUCUCUUUCUUUCUUUCUUUCUUUCUUUCUUUCUUUCUUUCUUUCUUUCUUUCUUUCUUUCUUUCUUUCUUUUUCUUUUUCUUUCUUUCUUUUUUUAAUGAGUAAGGGAUUUCCUUUAUUAUUAGUGAGAGUGAACAUCUUUUCAUAUAAUUAUUGACCAUUUUUAUUUUUCUCUACAAACUGAUUAUCCAAAUCUUUCUCCCACUUUUUUUCUUCAAAAAAAAUUUUAAUUUAAGAUCCAGGAUACAUGUACAGGACAUGCAGGUAUGUUAUGAAGGUAAACAUGUGCCGUGGUGGCUUGCUGUACCUAUCAACCCAACACCUAGGUAUUAAGCCUCACAUCCAUCAGCUAUUUAUCCUGAUGUUCUCCCUCCUUCCAAUCCCCCUAACAGGCUCCAGUGUGUGUUGUUCUCCACCCUGUGGCCAUGCGUUUUCAUUGUUCAGCUUCCACUUAUAAGUGAGAACAUGUAGUGUCUGGUUUCCUGUUCCUGUGUUAGUGUGCUGAGGAUAAUGGCUUCCAGCUCCAACCAUGUCUCUGCAAAGGGCAUGAUCUCAUCAUUCCUUUUAAUGGCUGCAUAGUAUUCCAUGAUGCAUAUGUACCACACGUUCUUUAUUUAAUCCAUCAUUGAUGGGCAUUUGGAUUGAUUCCAUGUCUUUGCUAUUGUGUUCUCACAUUCUCAAAAUGAAAGUUGGGACUAUUGAUCUCCAAAGUGCCAACACACUAAACACUGAAUGGUUGCAAAAGAAGAGUGAGUUAAUGGCAGACAAUAAGCUGAGAUCUCAGUUCCUACCUUGUUCUCACCAGUCCAGUUUGUGUUCCGCCAUUUGCUCAUAUAUUUCACUGUCAUGAAAUUUGCAAGUGCUCAUGAAAUUUGCGAGUGAAUAAAUGGUGAAGAAAAGAAAAACAAGAGAAGUCAUCUACAUUUUAGAAGGGCAAAUAUGUGAGGAAGGGCUGAGUGGCUGAAUCCGAAUAUUUUCAUUAAUUCCAAACAAAGACAAUGGAAAGUGGGAAAGAGGGGAAUUGCAGUUCUAUAAGCUAUCGUUGCUCCAUAGAAGAAAGGGAAGAGCCAGCAGUAAUCAGGACUUUUUAAAAGAACUGUCCAAGUUCAAUGACAAUAUCAUCUAGCUUUCUGACUCUAGGCAUCUGCCAAGAAACAUUGGAAUCUUCAUCUCAGUAAACUAAAACCAGGCUAGACAAAGCAGGCACAAAGGAGAAGAGAAUCACAUUCGAUAGGUUAGUCAGUAUAUAGCAAGCUAGAUCAGCCAUGGAAAUAUGCAUUAGUCAGUAAGCUUGAUACCUAAAUCAGUGGAGACAUGGUCUAAUAACUGACCUUUCAUUUUUUGGGGUGAUUUUCAUAGGCAUACAUGUUUACAUAGCAACUCCAUGAGAAUUUACAUUAAGUAGAUGCUGAUAUUCAUUGAUUAUUCAGAUAUUCUUCAACUUAAGAUGGGGUUAUCUCCUGACAAACUCAUCAUAAGUUGAAAAUAAGUCAAAAAUGCAUUCAAUGCACCUGAUCUAUGGAAUAUAAUAGCUUGGUCUAGCCUCAAAUGUGCUCAGAACAGUGAUAUUAGCUUA
Molecule: long non-coding RNA, 1599 nt
Filed under: Macaca fascicularis (crab-eating macaque)
Lineage: Eukaryota; Metazoa; Chordata; Mammalia; Primates; Cercopithecidae
Description: lncRNA (ENSMFAG00000058949.1)
Source: RNAcentral